Molecule: long non-coding RNA, 205 nt
Filed under: Ricinus communis (castor bean)
Lineage: Eukaryota; Viridiplantae; Streptophyta; Magnoliopsida; Malpighiales; Euphorbiaceae
Description: long non-coding RNA (RCOM_LNC003296)
Source: RNAcentral
UUGCACACUACCACCAGGAAAAAUAUCACACAAGUAAGCAAAAUUAUUAUUCAUGUCAUUGAACUUUGAAAUAAAAGAAUCAUUCUCAUAAAGAUCGGAUGUGAUUACAUCAUCAUAAAAUACAUGACAAUUUUUUCUUCUAUCAGAGUAGCUAGCUCUUGUUGACUCAGCUUCUCAGGCACAUCGAUGAACUCUUCCACUUUAG